UAAGGUACCGGUGGUACCAACAACAAGUGAAAUUUAUGAAGCCAAACUAGUGAAAGAAUAACAAAAGCUGGGACCACAAAGAGAAACAUACAAAGGUGCCGAAAAUAUGCGGAACACCUAACAAUGUAGGAACACCAAAAUCCUUAUAUAUGCGGAACCUCUACCCAAAAAUCAAAAGGCCUAAAGCGGCACAAGCAUAACCCAACAACAACAAAGAUAGCACAAAAAAACCAAAACACCUAAACCUGCACAGAAAGGUAGUAACUACAGCUUCCCACUAACAAACUACAAGCUUGCCUAGACACACUAGAAGGCUAGAAACUUGCACAGCCGCAAAACCGCAACCACUACUGAAAAA
This 358-nucleotide long non-coding RNA is filed under the name Medicago truncatula (barrel medic). RNAcentral describes it as "long non-coding RNA (MTRU_LNC001579)". Lineage: Eukaryota; Viridiplantae; Streptophyta; Magnoliopsida; Fabales; Fabaceae. The record is from RNAcentral.